Molecule: ribosomal RNA, 482 nt
Filed under: uncultured bacterium
Lineage: Bacteria
Description: partial 16S ribosomal RNA
Rfam family: Bacterial small subunit ribosomal RNA
Source: RNAcentral
GACGAACGCUGGCGGCGUGCUUAACACAUGCAAGUCGAACGAUGAAACCUAGCUUGCUAGGUCGAUUAGUGGCGAACGGGUGAGUAACACGUGACUAACCUGCCCCUUUCUCUGGGAUAACGCUCCGAAAGGAGUGCUAAUACCGGAUACUCACAUCGAGGCACAUGCCUUGGCGUGGACAGUUUUUCGGAGAGGGAUGGAGGCGCGGCCUAUCAGCUUGUUGGUGAGGUAACGGCUCACCAAGGCGACGACGGGUAGCCGGCCUGAGAGGGCGACCGGCCACACUGGGACUGAGACACGGCCCAGACUCCUACGGGAGGCAGCAGUGGGGAAUAUUGCACAAUGGGCGCAAGCCUGAUGCAGCGACGCCGCGUGAGGGAUGAAGGUCUUCGGAUUGUAAACCUCUUUCAGUAGGGACGAAGCGAAAGUGACGGUACCUAAAGAAGAAGCACCGGCUAACUACGUGCCAGCCGCCGCGGUAA